UUCAGUCGAUGCCGGCCCGACGAACGGAACGCGAUCCUCUUCACUUCUUCGGUCCGUCUCGCUCUCCGGCAAAGACGAGGCAACCCGCCGCCACGCCGCCGGUGGCAAAAUCAUCCAUACGACGGCGGCCGGUUUUUUCGCCCCGUCACCGGCGAAGUUGUACCACGUGACUAUGUUGUCGUCGAAAAGUUCAGCAUAUAUUAAAGAUGAGUUAAGGAUAACAGUCAGACCUGCAAGUGGGCAUUUUCAGACUUAUCCGCUGUAUUCUAUGGAAAGAGAAUUUCCUGGCAGCGCUGAAGACUGUGUCAUAUGGAACAGAAAAAAUGUAAAUGCCUGCAUUUCGGCAAAAUGUUGACGGCAUAAAAAUCUGACGGAAGCUUUCUGCUGAGGGCGAGCGGCGGAAGAACAGGCAGUGUCCUGCAGAGAAUCAUCCUCGUCAUCUUCAUCCAUGAGGUCCGACGUGAGGAAGGAGUCGGUGUCGGAACCAUCACCCAAGG
Molecule: long non-coding RNA, 497 nt
Organism: Aegilops tauschii subsp. strangulata
Lineage: Eukaryota; Viridiplantae; Streptophyta; Magnoliopsida; Poales; Poaceae
Source: RefSeq, a predicted model, not a curated record